CAACACCGUCGCGAUAAAUGACAAAAUUGCCCCUGGUGCGGUUUUGCUUUCUUAAUUUUCUGUCCAUCACUUCUUCAACCUGACAUAAUUAAUAAGGAAAUUAAUUAUUCGGAGGCUGAAACGAUGGAAUUUGGCUAGAAUCCCGUGACCCCGUGUCUGUGCCCCGAGUCCAAUUUCGCGGGCCGUUUCCAAUCAACCUACCAAAUUUCGGC
This 212-nucleotide long non-coding RNA is filed under the name Olea europaea (common olive). Its description in RNAcentral is "long non-coding RNA (OEUR_LNC011288)". Lineage: Eukaryota; Viridiplantae; Streptophyta; Magnoliopsida; Lamiales; Oleaceae. The record is from RNAcentral.